UGGAACAAACACGAUUUUUUUAGAAAAUCCAAUUCGUAGUAGGAAAUACACUAAUGUGGCUUUCCCCCGAGAGCCUCAAAUUGAUUCUUUUUCUUCUUCAGAAACAAAAAUACCAGAAGUACCAUCCAAGGAAGACCAUCAGCGCCACCAACACCAAAAACAGUGAAAUCACUUUUGUAAAUUAAUCUAAUGUAUUGUGCCAGGGUAAUGUUUCAUAGAGUGGAAUGAUAGACCUCAACACAAGUAUUAAAAAAAAAGAAGCAAAACAAGUCUACAUCUCAAAACCUGAUGACUUCCUGGACUGGCUUUAGUAGAACGAUGAUGCAUAUCAAUUUCAUCCCUGAUCUCUAUGACAUCUGUGGUGGAAGUGGGAGUCAAAUCGUAAUCAGUUUGGGUUCCAGCCCCGAGGACCUCUGUAAACUUUGCUUUUUGGUGAUGACUUCAUUUCCGAGCUUGAAAAGGACGCCCUUGUGUUUAUCAUGGCCUCUCAUAUUGGAAGAUAACAUAAAUGACUUGUGUGUUGACGGUUGUGCAUAUCUCUUGGUCAGGAAAGUUGUAAGCAACAUUGGCACUGUAAAUCAUUUGACAGGCCAGAGUGAACAGGGAGACAGACCUAUGAUUGGUCAGCAAUGUAUCAGAUUCCAUACUGGGGGGUGGGGAUGAAAAAACUGUUGUAGUGUUACACAAUCAGAUUAUUUCAACUUAAUUAUCCUGUGGAAAUACAGCUACAUGUAUAUAGGAGAUAUUUUGAAAUUCAUAGGCACUGCAUGUUUCAACAUUUUAGAUUUGACCACAAUUGGCACUUGAAACUAUGUUAACAGAGAAAAACUGUGUGGUUUUCGAUGAAAGUGUUAAAAGUCUAAUAUUGCAUCAUGAUUACCGUUUUAAAGUAUUUUUGUGUUUGAUUUAUAUUGAAUUCAUCUCAUCUUUUUGAAGAAUGCAUUUAUGUUCAAAAAUAAAAAUGUUCUGUGGAAUUAAAAAAUCAUGUGCUUUUAAAUUAUCAGAUUCCAAACUGGGGGUGGGGAUAAAAAAGCUGUUGUAGUUGUAGUGUUACAUAAUCAGAUUAUUUCAACUUACUUAUCCUUUGGAAAUACAACUAUAUAGGAGAUAUUUUAAAAUUGAUAGGCACUGCAUGUUUCAACAUCUUAGAUUUGACCACAGUUUGGCACUUGAAAUGAAACUACGCUAACAGAGAAAAACUGUGUGGUUUUCGAUGAAAGUGUGAAAAAGUCUAAUAUUGCAUCAUGAUUACUGUUUUAAAGUAUUUUCGUGUUGGAUUUAUAUUGAAUUUAUCUCAUCUUUUUACAGAAUGCAUUUAUGUUCAAAAAUAAAAAUGUUCUGUUUAAUUCAAAAUUCAUGUGCUUUUAAAUUUCUGUCUGAAAUUCCGCAGUUUUCUGAUGUAUUAUAGUGUUUGCAGAAUGCCGC
This is a long non-coding RNA of Patella vulgata (common limpet), 1425 nucleotides long. RefSeq lists it as uncharacterized. Lineage: Eukaryota; Metazoa; Mollusca; Gastropoda; Patellidae. The transcript is spliced from 3 exons. The record is from RefSeq and is a predicted model, not a curated record.